CCCUUAGAUGUUCUGGGCCGCACGCGCGCUACACUGAUGCAUUCAACGAGUUUCUUCCUGGUCCGAGAGGAUUGGGUAACCUUUUGAAAGUGCAUCGUGAUAGGGAUAGACUAUUGCAAUUAUUGGUCUUCAACGAGGAAUUCCUAGUAGACGUAGUUCAUCAGACUGCAUCGAUUACGUCCCUGCCCUUUGUACACACCGCCCGUCGCUCCUACCGAUUGAAUGCUCAGGUGAGCCAUUCGGACUUUCAUCAUGCUGGUUUCCAGUUUUGAUGAAGGAAAGUCUUGCGAACCUUAUCAUUUAGAGGAAGGAGAAGUCGUAACA
This 324-nucleotide ribosomal RNA is filed under the name uncultured eukaryote. Its description in RNAcentral is "partial 18S ribosomal RNA". It matches the Rfam family "Eukaryotic small subunit ribosomal RNA", at positions 1470 to 1796 of the family's 1831-position model. The record is from RNAcentral.